RNAcentral lists this transfer RNA (62 nucleotides) under Neelus murinus. RNAcentral describes it as "tRNA-Val". The record is from RNAcentral. Lineage: Eukaryota; Metazoa; Arthropoda; Collembola; Neelipleona; Neelidae.
AGGGUUAGAGCUUGUUAAGUCUUUAGUUACAUUAAAGGGAACACAAAUUUUGUGUAACCCUA